Centruroides sculpturatus (bark scorpion) is the source of this 488-nucleotide long non-coding RNA. RefSeq lists it as uncharacterized. The transcript is spliced from 3 exons. The record is from RefSeq and is a predicted model, not a curated record. NCBI's taxonomy places the organism in Eukaryota, Metazoa, Arthropoda, Arachnida, Scorpiones, Buthidae.
AAAUCUAUGGUCCGAUUGGUGAUUGUAUGCUGUUCGCGCGCCACACAUCAAUCGAUUGCUAUCGAGUUACAUUGAUCUGUACAACAAAUUUUCAUUUCGAUCUUUACGACAGUAAAUAAAGAACGUCAUCGGUGGAAAAGCCACGAGCAGACAGACAAACCGGCUCCGUCAGAACGUCUCUCUGUCGCCAGAUGGCUUCAUUAUUCCCGGUCGCGGUUGUGUAGUUUGCUUUGAUGUCUCCGAUACAAGUAUAAAAAUGUAAAUUUUUCUAAUAAAAAUCGCAGAAUUAAAGAUGAAAUUGCAUCUUGCUUCCAUGGUGAAUACUGAAUAUCCAGAAGAAGAUCCACAACAAUUUCAGAAUAGUUUAACUACUAUGAUAACAGAUAAUUUACCAUCCCCUCUUCUAAAUGAUUCUGAUAUGCCACAAGCAAGAGCAUUUACAGAUGUUUCAAUUAAAAGUAUUACUGUUGUUAUUGGAUCUAUGGCAG